Musca domestica (house fly) is the source of this 840-nucleotide long non-coding RNA. RefSeq lists it as uncharacterized. Lineage: Eukaryota; Metazoa; Arthropoda; Insecta; Diptera; Muscidae. The transcript has 3 exons. The record is from RefSeq and is a predicted model, not a curated record.
UUAAAAAUUUAAAAUUUUGUAAUAUUUUUUGUUUUGGUUUUGAAAGCGAAGAAAAUCUAAUUGGUGCACAAUAAAAUGGUAGCUGCGGCUUCGAACCUAAAUCGACCAACACAUCUUUGUGGAGCUAAUAUCAAAACCUCAUUUGGUCGCAUAUUGGGUAAUUGAGAAUCGGGGAAGUGCCGGCCCUCAAGAUUUACGGAAUUUGAUCAAUAUCACAUCAAAUAGUGGAUUUAUAUCCUCUGAGAAGCUGAAACGCUAAAAUACUAAUUUGAUUGGAAAAUGAAAAACAAUGCAUCAAAAUUCGAACUGGUCGCGUGAGGAAUUUCUGGAUAUACCGUUGAAUAAGUAGCAAAAACAUGCAAAAUUUUGAGUGUCAGAGGGGAGAAGCGAGUGCUAUAUGAGGGAUAAACCUGAACGGGGACUGAUAUACCUCCUUUAAUAUUAAUCAUCGUAUUCGGUGAGGAAAUGUUUUAUGCCAACUUUAAUACCGAAACAUAAUGGAUUUCGAAACAAGCUUCAAUGUGACGUUCGUUAUCCCUCUAGAAAGGAUAUGAGCAACAAAGAAUAUUUUUCAAACACGCAAAACAAAAAAGAAAAUUCAAAAAUAAAGCAAAAACGUUGCUCGCGUAAUUCAUUCGAAACUUUUGAAAAGAACAAAAGUGGAAAAUGAAACAAGAAAACAGGGAUUGAAUGUUUAUUCUGCUGAUAACUUGAAUUUAUCACUAAUCGAUUGUACGGAACAAACUAAACAAUGGGAGUAUUUCUAUUUGAAAGGAAAUUACAAAUUCAAUGCGAAUGUAAAUUAUCUAUCUAUCAAUCUUACUCUUGCUGAUAGAAGAA